This 21-nucleotide unclassified non-coding RNA is filed under the name Mus musculus (house mouse). RNAcentral's name for it is "oocyte_clustered_small_RNA7454". Lineage: Eukaryota; Metazoa; Chordata; Mammalia; Rodentia; Muridae. The record is from RNAcentral.
UCCAUCCAAUAUCUGACUGAG